This 514-nucleotide ribosomal RNA is filed under the name uncultured bacterium. Its description in RNAcentral is "partial 16S ribosomal RNA". It matches the Rfam family "Bacterial small subunit ribosomal RNA", at positions 28 to 523 of the family's 1533-position model. The record is from RNAcentral.
GAUGAACGCUGGCGGCGUGCCUAAUACAUGCAAGUCGAGCGAAUGGAUUAAGAGCUUGCUCUUAUGAAGUUAGCGGCGGACGGGUGAGUAACACGUGGGUAACCUGCCCAUAAGACUGGGAUAACUCCGGGAAACCGGGGCUAAUACCGGAUAACAUUUUGAACCGCAUGGUUCGAAAUUGAAAGGCGGCUUCGGCUGUCACUUAUGGAUGGACCCGCGUCGCAUUAGCUAGUUGGUGAGGCAACGGCUCACCAAGGCAACGAUGCGUAGCCGACCUGAGAGGAUGAUCGGCCACACUGGGACUGAGACACGGCCCAGACUCCUACGGGAGGCAGCAGUAGGGAAUCUUCCGCAAUGGACGAAAGUCUGACGGAGCAACGCCGCGUGAGUGAUGAAGGCUUUCGGGUCGUAAAACUCUGUUGUUAGGGAAGAACAAGUGCUAGUUGAAUAAGCUGACACCUUGACGGUACCUAACCAGAAGCCACGGCUAACUACGUGCCAGCCGCCGCAGUAA